This 433-nucleotide ribosomal RNA is filed under the name uncultured bacterium. RNAcentral describes it as "partial 16S ribosomal RNA". It matches the Rfam family "Bacterial small subunit ribosomal RNA", at positions 29 to 507 of the family's 1533-position model. The record is from RNAcentral.
AACGAACGCUGGCGGCAUGCCUAACACAUGCAAGUCGAACGAGAACUUCGGGUCUAGUGGCGCACGGGUGCGUAACGCGUGGGAACCUGCACUUAGGUUCGGAAUAACUCCCCGAAAGGGGUGCUAAUACAGGAUAAUGUCUUCGGACCAAAGAUUUAUCGCCUUUGGAUGGGCCCGCGUUGGAUUAGCUAGUUGGUAGGGUAAAAGCCUACCAAGGCGACGAUCCAUAGCUGGUCUGAGAGGAUGAUCAGCCACACUGGGACUGAGACACGGCCCAGACUCCUACGGGAGGCAGCAGUGGGGAAUAUUGGACAAUGGACGAAAGCCUGAUCCAGCAAUGCCGCGUGAGUGAUGAAGGCCGUAGGGUUGUAAAGCUCUUUUACCCGGGAUGAUAAUGACAGUACCGGGAGAAUAAGCUCCGGCUAACUCCGUG